Molecule: ribosomal RNA, 478 nt
Filed under: uncultured bacterium
Lineage: Bacteria
Description: partial 16S ribosomal RNA
Rfam family: Bacterial small subunit ribosomal RNA
Source: RNAcentral
AUGCACGCUAGCGGGAGGCCUAACACAUGCAAGCCGAGCGGUAUUUGUUCUUCGGAACAGAGAGAGCGGCGCACGGGUGCGGAACACGUGUGCAACCUGCCUUUAUCUGGGGGAUAGCCUUUCGAAAGGAAGAUUAAUACCCCAUAAUAUAUUGAGUGGCAUCAUUUGAUAUUGAAAACUCCGGUGGAUAGAGAUGGGCACGCGCAAGAUUAGAUAGUUGGUGAGGUAACGGCUCACCAAGUCAAUGAUCUUUAGGGGGCCUGAGAGGGUGAUCCCCCACACUGGUACUGGGACACGGACCAGACUCCUACGGGAGGCAGCAGUGAGGAAUAUUGGACAAUGGGUUAGCGCCUGAUCCAGCCAUCCCGCGUGAAGGACGACGGCCCUAUGGGUUGUAAACUUCUUUUGUAUAGGGAUAAACCUACUCUCGUGAGAGUAGCUGAAGGUACUAUACGAAUAAGCACCGGCUAACUCCGUG